Molecule: long non-coding RNA, 564 nt
Organism: Phyllostomus hastatus (greater spear-nosed bat)
Lineage: Eukaryota; Metazoa; Chordata; Mammalia; Chiroptera; Phyllostomidae
Exons: 3
Source: RefSeq, a predicted model, not a curated record
GCGGGCCCGGUCCUCCCGCCGCGGCGCGGCUUCCGGGCCCUCGCUGCUCGCCCGGAGCGGGUCUGCGCGCAGAGGGGGCCCGGCCCGGUACUUCUGGCUUCGGGGUGUUAGGUUCUGUGAAAGGGGGAAAGUGAAAGCCCUCGGAGUUAGGGAAACGCGACGGAUCUAUUCACUGACCAGUCCGGACCCCGGGCGCACCUCGAGGCAGGGCAGCAGUGGCUGGGAGAAAGCUGAAGCAAACCAAGGCAAAACUGAAAAGCAAAGGCAGUAAAACUGCAAAUGCAAACACUGCAGGAAGAAAAUGCCUGGUGACUGCGCAUCCCAACUUGUCAAGAUUUGUCCUCAAAAGGGUGAGUGUCUGGUCCUUAGCCAAGUCGCCUAGCAGUUCGCCGGCCGAGCCUCAGCGCUUCGGAACCAACGCGCCGCAGUGGAGAGCCCCCGCAGCUCCGGCUGACGGGCUCCCGUCCUGGCUGUGCCGCGUCCUGGGCCAGCGAGGGGCUCACCUGCCUUCUCCGAGUCUCCUCCACUGUGAAAUGGCAGUGACAGUAAUACCGGUCUCCCGGG